RNAcentral lists this ribosomal RNA (301 nucleotides) under uncultured bacterium. RNAcentral's name for it is "partial 16S ribosomal RNA". It matches the Rfam family "Bacterial small subunit ribosomal RNA", at positions 509 to 809 of the family's 1533-position model. The record is from RNAcentral.
CAGCCGCCACGGGAAUACAGAGGGUGCGAGCGUUAAUCGGAAUUACUGGGCGUAAAGCGCGCGUAGACGGUUUGGUAAGUCAGAUGUGAAAUCCCUGGGCUCAACCUGGGAACUGCAUUUGAUACUGCCUGGCUAGAGUAUCGAAGAGGGAAGUGGAAUUUCCGGUGUAGCGGUGAAAUGCGUAGAUAUCAGAAGGAACACCAGUGGCGAAAGCGACUUCCUGGUCGAAUACUGACGUUCAUGUGCGAAAGCGUGGGGAGCAAACAGGAUUAGAGACCCCUGUAGCCCUGUCUCUUAUACA